GAGUUUGAUCUUGGCUCAGGACUAACGUUGGCGGCGUGCGUAAUACAUGCAAGUCGAGCGGGUGUAGCAAUACACUAGCGGCGAACGGGUGAGUAACACGUGGAUGAUCUACCCUUUAGAUCGGGACAACCAGCCGAAAGGUUGGCUAAUACCGGGUAUGACCACGGCCAGUAUCAGCUGGCUGCGGUAAGAGCAGGGGACCGCAAGGCCUUGCGCUAAAGGAUGAGUCCGCGGCUGAUUAGCUAGUUGGCGGGGUAAUGGCCCACCAAGGCGACGAUCAGUAGCCGGCCUGAGAGGGUGAACGGCCACACUGGGACUGAGACACGGCCCAGACUCCUACGGGAGGCAGCAGUAGGGAAUUUUCCACAAUGGGCGAAAGCCUGAUGGAGCAACGCCGCGUGCAGGAUGAAGGAUUUCGGUCUGUAAACUGCUUUGGAGCGGGAAGAACGCCGUUGGGUGAACAAUCCAGACGGGUGACGGUACCGCUAGAACAAGACACGGCUAACUUCGUGCCAGCCGCCG
Molecule: ribosomal RNA, 522 nt
Filed under: uncultured Negativicutes bacterium
Lineage: Bacteria; Bacillati; Bacillota; Negativicutes
Description: bacterial SSU rRNA
Rfam family: Bacterial small subunit ribosomal RNA
Source: RNAcentral